UAGGGAAUUUUGCGCAAUGGGCGAAAGCCUGACGCAGCAACGCCGCGUGAGUGAUGAAGGUCUUCGGAUUGUAAAGCUCUGUUGAGUGGGAAGAAAAGUCAUGGUGCUAAUCAGCUGUGAUCUGACGGUACCACUCGAGUAAGCCCCGGCUAACUACGUGCCAGCAGCCGCGGUAAUACGUAGGGGGCAAGCGUUGUUCGGAAUCACUGGGCGUAAAGGGAGCGUAGGCGGAUCUAUAAGUUAGAAGUUUAAAUCGCAGGCUUAACCUGCGUGUGGCUUCUAAUACUGUAGGUCUUGAGUAUGAAAGAGGGAGAUGGAAUUCCAGGUGUAGCGGUGGAAUGCGUAGAUAUCUGGAAGAACACCAGCAGCGAAGGCGGUCUCCUGGUUCAAUACUGACGCUGAGGCUCGAAAGUUAGGGGAGCAAACAGG
RNAcentral lists this ribosomal RNA (429 nucleotides) under uncultured bacterium. RNAcentral describes it as "bacterial SSU rRNA". It matches the Rfam family "Bacterial small subunit ribosomal RNA", at positions 355 to 776 of the family's 1533-position model. The record is from RNAcentral.